GAUCAGCCAUGCCGCGUGCAGGAAGACUGCCCUAUGGGUUGUAAACUGCUUUUAUACGGGAAGAAACACCGCUACGUGUAGCGGCUUGACGGUACCGUAAGAAUAAGGAUCGGCUAACUCCGUGCCAGCAGCCGCGGUAAUACGGAGGAUCCAAGCGUUAUCCGGAAUCAUUGGGUUUAAAGGGUCCGUAGGUGGAUAAUUAAGUCAGAGGUGAAAUCUUGCAGCUCAACUGUAAAAUUGCCUUUGAUACUGGUUAUCUUGAAUUAUUGUGAAGUGGUUAGAAUAUGUAGUGUAGCGGUGAAAUGCAUAGAUAUUACAUAGAAUACCAAUUGCGAAGGCAGAUCACUAACAAUAUAUUGACACUGAUGGACGAAAGCGUGGGGA
This 384-nucleotide ribosomal RNA is filed under the name uncultured Flavobacteriaceae bacterium. RNAcentral describes it as "bacterial SSU rRNA". It matches the Rfam family "Bacterial small subunit ribosomal RNA", at positions 385 to 767 of the family's 1533-position model. The record is from RNAcentral. Lineage: Bacteria; Pseudomonadati; Bacteroidota; Flavobacteriia; Flavobacteriales; Flavobacteriaceae.